CCUACGGGUGGCUGCAGUAAGGAAUAUUGGUCAAUGGACGCAAGUCUGAACCAGCCAUGCCGCGUGGAGGAUGAAGGUCCUCUGGAUUGUAAACUUCUUUUAUUUGGGAAGAAACUCCCGAUUUCCAUCGGGAUUGACGGUACCAGAUGAAUAAUCACCGGCUAACUCCGUGCCAGCAGCCGCGGUAAUACGGAGGGUGCAAGGUCAAUCCGGUUACAGUGGGUUUAGGUGGUGAGUAAAGGCGCAGGUAAAAUCUCCGGGCUUAACCCGGAAACUGCCAUUGAUACUAUUUGUCUUGAAUACUCUGGAGGUGAGCGGAAUAUGUCAUGUAGCGGUGAAAUGCUUAGAUAUGACAUAGAACACCCAUUGCGAAGGCAGCUCACUACGGAAAUAUUGACGCUGAGGCACGAAAGCGUGGGGAGCAAACAGGAUUAGAUACCCCAGUAGUC
RNAcentral lists this ribosomal RNA (449 nucleotides) under uncultured bacterium. RNAcentral's name for it is "partial 16S ribosomal RNA". It matches the Rfam family "Bacterial small subunit ribosomal RNA", at positions 338 to 795 of the family's 1533-position model. The record is from RNAcentral.